Molecule: small RNA, 312 nt
Filed under: Pseudomonas alkylphenolica
Lineage: Bacteria; Pseudomonadati; Pseudomonadota; Gammaproteobacteria; Pseudomonadales; Pseudomonadaceae
Description: Xanthomonas sRNA Xoo8
Source: RNAcentral
UCUGGAGCGUCCGACCGUAAUGCGCAAUCAGGCGCAUGCCGGUGCAGCCGCUGCUGCCAAGCUCAAUCCGCAAGACGAUCUGGACUACCUGGACAUCCCGGCUUUCCUGCGUCGUCAGGCCGAUUGAUGAAAUUUAUCAGGGGUAUAAGGGUGAUUGGUGUUCAGCAAAGGCCGGGUCUGGUAUUAUCCUCAGCCUUUGUUGAUACCAGUUCGCAAUUUGCGCUGAAGCGGCCAAUGCCAUGAUUAAACAACGCACCCUGAAGAAUAUUAUCCGUGCCACAGGUGUCGGCCUGCACUCCGGGGAAAAGGUUU